This 207-nucleotide ribosomal RNA is filed under the name uncultured bacterium. RNAcentral's name for it is "partial 16S ribosomal RNA". It matches the Rfam family "Bacterial small subunit ribosomal RNA", at positions 568 to 775 of the family's 1533-position model. The record is from RNAcentral.
CGUGUAGGCGGUUGAAAAGUCAGGUGUGAAAUUCUUCGGCUCAACCGAGGGACUGCGCCUGAAACUUUUCGACUGGAGUUUGGGAGGGGCAACUGGAAUUCCUGGUGUAACGGUGAAAUGUGUAGAUAUCAGGAGGAACACCCGUGGCGAAGGCGGGUUGCUGGACCAAAACUGACGCUGAGACGCGAAAGCGUGGGUAGCAAACAG